Molecule: ribosomal RNA, 119 nt
Filed under: Gadus morhua (Atlantic cod)
Lineage: Eukaryota; Metazoa; Chordata; Actinopteri; Gadiformes; Gadidae
Source: RNAcentral
GCUUACGGCCAUACCACCUUAGGCACGCCCGAUCUCGUCUGAUAUCGGAAGCUAAGCAGGGUCGGGGCUGGUUAGUACUUGGAUGGGUGACCGCCUGGGAAUACCAGGUGCUGUAAGCA